This is a long non-coding RNA of Tetranychus urticae (two-spotted spider mite), 1296 nucleotides long. RefSeq lists it as uncharacterized. The record is from RefSeq and is a predicted model, not a curated record. NCBI's taxonomy places the organism in Eukaryota, Metazoa, Arthropoda, Arachnida, Trombidiformes, Tetranychidae.
AAAAGCAUAAAGUCUUAAAAAAGAUAUUUUCCUAUGUUAAUCUUUAAUUUUUACGUUAUUUUUCUUGUUCCAGUGUUUAUACAGUUAUAGACAUAAAUUUCAUGAGAUAACUGCAAUAUUUUAUUUAACAAUUAUGACAAAUUAUAUAUUAACAUUACAAUUGACUGGAAUAACGCUAUUGAUUACUAGUUAAAGACGCAAAUAAUGAUAAAUAUCAAUGUGUGUUCAAAGAUUAUCAGGAGAAAGAGGAUAAGAACAGAAAAAACAAGGAGAGAGGAACAAGAAAAAGAUAAAGAAAAGAUUGAACAAAAAGAAAGGCCAGAAACAAAACGAUAUGAACGGAAGCUGAUGCAUCUUUUACCUUUUAUUUUGGCUCAUCUUUAUCUCAUCCUUCUCAUCUGCAUCAACAUCAACAUCAAAAACAAAAUUAUCUUAAUUUCCAUCCUUCUCCAGCGUUUUACCUUGAAUCUUAACCCGGGCCAAUUUUGUUUCCACUUUUGGUGCCCAUUGGUUAAGCACGAAAUCGACCUUUUAUCACAUUAUAUAAAAAGUCUAAUUUUAUUUUCGUGAUCAUAUAUUUUCCUCUUGGUACCUUAUUUAAUAAUACAAUAUCAAGCCAAUCAAAUAUCCCUUGGCCUGGGCCAAAUGCUUGUUCUUUGCUUAAUUUGGCAAUUUUCCUUUACCUCAUCUUAUGGUAUCAUCAUUAUCAUCAAUGGUUUAAUACACACUAUAAUGCCAUAUAACAAGCUCAAAGGAUAAACAAAACAAUCUUUAUUAACCAUCAUUAAACAUCUAAUUAAAAGGACUGAUAAGGACUUCUCACUACCACCUCCUUCAACUUCAUCCUCCUCCUUAUUCCCUCCUUUACCUUCUCUCACCUCCUCCCAUCUUCUUUGAUAAUCAUCUUCAUUUAACAUCCAUCAUUUUUUUCCCGAUCACUUUUAUUCGCCUUUCUUUUCCAUCUUUUUACACCAGCUUUGCGCUUUCUCCAUCCCGUUUGUCCUGGCUGUUAAAUUACCUGAUCAACAUGUGAUUGAAAACGAUUGUUAAAAGCUAAUUGUAAUUUAAUCUUUCUGGUUUGUUUCUUGGGAUUUGGUUUUUACCUGUAAAUUAAAUCCAUUAUUGAACUGCAAGGCAAACAGUCAUAAAUAUAUUUAACGUUUCUAUGCAUAAUAUGAUUGUUUAUAAGGUAAAGGUAAAAGGCCAAACGUUAUGUUGACGUUUAAAUUGAAUCAAAAAAAAGCAAUUCAUUUUACCCGUGAUAAAAAGCCAAUAAAAACCAUUCCUAACCGACAA